Molecule: ribosomal RNA, 404 nt
Filed under: uncultured Desulfobulbus sp.
Lineage: Bacteria; Pseudomonadati; Thermodesulfobacteriota; Desulfobulbia; Desulfobulbales; Desulfobulbaceae
Description: bacterial SSU rRNA
Rfam family: Bacterial small subunit ribosomal RNA
Source: RNAcentral
GACAUCCCGGAGACCCUUAGGAACUAGGGGUGGCUUCCAUCUGGAAGAAUCUGGAGACAGGUGCUGCAUGGCUGUCGUCAGCUCGUGUCGUGAGAUGUUCGGGUUAAGUCCCGCAACGAGCGCAACCCUUGCCUUUAGUUGCCAGCAGUUCGGCUGGGCACUCUAAAGGGACUGCCGGUGUUAAACCGGAGGAAGUGGGGAUGACGUCAAGUCCUCAUGGCCUUUAUGACCAGGGCUACACACGUACUACAAUGGCCGAUACAAAGGGCAGCGACACUGCGAGGUGAAGCCAAUCCCGUAAAAUCGGUCUCAGUCCGGAUUGGAGUCUGCAACUCGACUCCAUGAAGUUGGAAUCGCUAGUAAUCGUGGAUCAGCAUGCCACGGUGAAUACGUUCCCGGGCCUU